This 21-nucleotide non-coding RNA is filed under the name Caenorhabditis elegans. Lineage: Eukaryota; Metazoa; Nematoda; Chromadorea; Rhabditida; Rhabditidae. The record is from RNAcentral.
UUUUCCAUUAAGAUCAAAAUC